This 22-nucleotide small nuclear RNA is filed under the name Arabidopsis thaliana (thale cress). Its description in RNAcentral is "snRNA_12526". Lineage: Eukaryota; Viridiplantae; Streptophyta; Magnoliopsida; Brassicales; Brassicaceae. The record is from RNAcentral.
AUGAUAUUGGUGACAGGAUGGU